RNA transcript from Drosophila virilis, 837 nucleotides. RefSeq lists it as uncharacterized. NCBI's taxonomy places the organism in Eukaryota, Metazoa, Arthropoda, Insecta, Diptera, Drosophilidae. The record is from RefSeq and is a predicted model, not a curated record.
UUCAGUAUUCAUUCAGAGCUUGUAACUCAAAUACUAUCUUCGAUUCGACCUAAAAAUUUACUAUAUUUUGGCAUAGGUUAUUUUUUCUUAAUCCUGGUUCAGUUUAAAAUUGUAUAUAAAAUUAUGGAUUACUUUGAGAAUGCACAAAUUGGUGGCUAUCGAAUCAAUAUGCCAUUUCCUCAAUUAUUUUAUCCCGAGAUGAACGGCACAAACAAGAGCUACGAUCAGGCGGGUGCUCCACAUUUGAGCGGCCAACAAUUCCAAAGCGAUUAUUACGACAGCGGCUGCAAGCCAGAUCUUGGCCAUUCGCCUUACGGAUGCAAUGAGGAUUACCCACCCCGGCAUUCGGUAACAAAUAGCUCGUUCGCCUAUCGUAGCAUGGACCGUCACAAUCGACGAGCCCGGGAAAUGUUGGCCCGCAAUGGUUUGUAUACACCCAAUGAUAGGGGCCAUAAGCAGCCCGAAUAUCCUCAAUUUGCGGAUGAUUCCAUUGGACAGUCCGUCACGGUCAACUCAUAUUGGCAAUAAUGGUGAUGUCUCGAUAUCCAUUCUUUAUUAUUGGUUAUUUUCGUAGUAAAAGUUCGUUUUCGGUCAUAUAAUGAAUGCCAGGACGGAUGUUUGUCAGUCAAUGCUUCCCUAACAGAAUAAUAUGUGUGAAAUUGGUGGAAGAACGUUGCAUAACCUCAGAUGGGCUUCGUGUCGAAUAUGUUACUUGCUUUACGGAUAAUCCAUCAAUUCAGAGAAUGUGGUUAGCUUAUCUUGGUGGGACGGAUAGUAACGCCCGGGAACGCUACGAGAUAAUUUUUUGUUUGCAUUAAAUAAUUUUGCAGGGAUAAA